AACGAACGCUGGCGGCAUGCCUAACACAUGCAAGUCGAACGAGACCUUCGGGUCUAGUGGCGCACGGGUGCGUAACGCGUGGGAACCUGCCCUUAGGUUCGGAAUAACUCCCCGAAAGGGGUGCUAAUACCGGAUAAUGUCUUCGGACCAAAGAUUUAUCGCCUUUGGAUGGGCCCGCGUUGGAUUAGCUAGUUGGUAGGGUAAAAGCCUACCAAGGCGACGAUCCAUAGCUGGUCUGAGAGGAUGAUCAGCCACACUGGGACUGAGACACGACCCAGACUCCUACGGGAGGCAGCAGUGGGGAAUAUUGGACAAUGGGCGAAAGCCUGAUCCAGCAAUGCCGCGUGAGUGAUGAAGGCCUUAGGGUUGUAAAGCUCUUUUAGCUGGGAUGAUAAUGACAGUACCGGGAGAAUAAGCUCCGGCUAACUCCGUG
This 433-nucleotide ribosomal RNA is filed under the name uncultured bacterium. RNAcentral's name for it is "partial 16S ribosomal RNA". It matches the Rfam family "Bacterial small subunit ribosomal RNA", at positions 29 to 507 of the family's 1533-position model. The record is from RNAcentral.